This 376-nucleotide ribosomal RNA is filed under the name uncultured bacterium. RNAcentral's name for it is "bacterial SSU rRNA". It matches the Rfam family "Bacterial small subunit ribosomal RNA", at positions 28 to 414 of the family's 1533-position model. The record is from RNAcentral.
GACGAACGCUGGCGGCGUGCUUAACACAUGCAAGUCAAGGGGGCCCGCAAGGGCAACCGGCGAACGGGUGCGUAACACGUGAGCAACCUGCCUAAAUGUGGGGGAUAGCCGGCCCAACGGCCGGGUAAUACCGCAUACGCUCACCGGGCGGCAUCUCCUGGUGAGGAAACCUACGGCAUUUAGAGGGGCUCGCGGCCUAUCAGCUAGUUGGGUGGGGUAAUGGCCUACCAAGGCGACGACGGGUAGCUGGUCUGAGAGGAUGGCCAGCCACAUUGGGACUGAGAUACGGCCCAGACUCCUACGGGAGGCAGCAGGUGGGGAAUAUUGCGCAAUGGGCGAAAGCCUGACGCAGCGACGCCGCGGUGGGGGAUGAAGC